Molecule: ribosomal RNA, 515 nt
Filed under: uncultured bacterium
Lineage: Bacteria
Description: bacterial SSU rRNA
Rfam family: Bacterial small subunit ribosomal RNA
Source: RNAcentral
GAUUCUGGCUCAGGAUGAACGCUAGCUACAGGCUUAACACAUGCAAGUCGAGGGGCAGCAUAACGAAAGCUUGCUUUGUGAUGGCGACCGGCGCACGGGUGAGUAACGCGUAUCCAACCUUCCCCUUAGUAGGGCAUAGCCCGUAGAAAUGCGGAUUAAUACCCUAUGUUCUUCGAAGCGGUCAUCCAAGUUUGAAGCAAAGAUUCAUCGCUAAGGGAUGGGGAUGCGUCCGAUUAGGUUGUUGGCGGGGUAACGGCCCACCAAGCCAUCGAUCGGUAGGGGUUCUGAGAGGAAGGUCCCCCACAUUGGAACUGAGACACGGUCCAAACUCCUACGGGAGGCAGCAGUGAGGAAUAUUGGUCAAUGGACGAGAGUCUGAACCAGCCAAAAGUAGCGUGCAGGACGACGGCCCUAUGGGUUGUAAACUGCUUUUAUACAGGGAUAAAGUCGGGGACGUGUCCCCGUUUGUAGGUACUGUAUGAAUAAGGACCGGCUAAUUCCGUGCCAGCCGCAGC